UAGGGAAUCUUCCACAAUGGACGCAAGUCUGAUGGAGCAACGCCGCGUGAGUGAAGAAGGUUUUCGGAUCGUAAAGCUCUGUUGUUGGUGAAGAAGGAUAGAGGCAGUAACUGGUCUUUAUUUGACGGUAAUCAACCAGAAAGUCACGGCUAACUACGUGCCAGCAGCCGCGGUAAUACGUAGGUGGCAAGCGUUGUCCGGAUUUAUUGGGCGUAAAGCGAGCGCAGGCGGAAUGAUAAGUCUGAUGUGAAAGCCCACGGCUCAACCGUGGAACUGCAUCGGAAACUGUCAUUCUUGAGUGCAGAAGAGGAGAGUGGAAUUCCAUGUGUAGCGGUGGAAUGCGUAGAUAUAUGGAAGAACACCAGUGGCGAAGGCGGCUCUCUGGUCUGCAACUGACGCUGAGGCUCGAAAGCAUGGGUAGCAAACAGG
This 429-nucleotide ribosomal RNA is filed under the name bacterium. Its description in RNAcentral is "partial 16S ribosomal RNA". It matches the Rfam family "Bacterial small subunit ribosomal RNA", at positions 355 to 776 of the family's 1533-position model. The record is from RNAcentral.